This is a long non-coding RNA of Ahaetulla prasina, 502 nucleotides long. RefSeq lists it as uncharacterized. NCBI's taxonomy places the organism in Eukaryota, Metazoa, Chordata, Lepidosauria, Squamata, Colubridae. The record is from RefSeq and is a predicted model, not a curated record. The transcript has 4 exons.
UCUGACAAAACUGGGCCUCCAGCAUCUCCAGAAGAUUGGCACAACUUAAGGCCAGCUCUAUGUGGUUGCAAGAGUUGAUACCGGGUUGACCUUUUCCAAUAAACAGUUAAAUCAUCAACAUAUUAGCAUAUUUACUGACACUUUUCAUUGGACCAUUGGACCAAUAUGAGCCAUGAUGUCAAAUGAACUAGAACUGAACUCUUCUUUUAUUUUGACAUUUUUCUUUUUACUUUUGUAGUCUGAUUUCUUGUAAAAGAACACAGCCACUCAUUUUCCAGCAUUUUGCAAGUCCCUGCUUUUGUACAUUUCUAAAGCCAUUAUUGGAACAUCCAAUAGAAGAGAAGAUUGACUGUCUUUAGAAGAAGCCAAAGAACUCUACAGCAACACUGCAGUGAAGAGAAGAGCAUUUGGGGAAAGUAUAUGGAGUCAAGGCCACAGUGCCCUGCAACUGCCAUGAGGGGACCGAGAUGUAUCUUCAGUUUUGGAUGGUGACUGAUUGGAU